RNAcentral lists this ribosomal RNA (619 nucleotides) under Metapenaeus ensis. Its description in RNAcentral is "partial small subunit ribosomal RNA". The stretch from base 222 to 619 matches the Rfam family "Microsporidia small subunit ribosomal RNA", at positions 752 to 1286 of the family's 1311-position model. Lineage: Eukaryota; Metazoa; Arthropoda; Malacostraca; Decapoda; Penaeidae. The record is from RNAcentral.
CAGCAGCCGCGGUUAUACUGAGAGAUAAAAUGAAAGAAAGUUGGUUAAAGAUUCUUAAAUGACACGUUAAUAUAAUUAAAUUAAAUUUGUACUAAUAAAGGGUGAAAUUAGUUUUUGGUGAGCAAAGGUAGUUUGUUUUUAAUGAGAUUGAGGUUGUUAAGAUUAAGGUAUGGACCAGGAUUAGAUACCCUGUUACACUUUAUUUUAAAGUAAUGUUACCUGGGUAGUAAGCAGUUAUUGUCUUGAAACUCAAAGGAUUUGGCGGUAACUUAGUCUAGUUAGAGGAACCUGUCCUGUAAUCGAUAGUCCACGAAGUAUCUUACUUUACCUUGUGAGAAACAGUUUGUAUACCGUCAUUAUUAGAUAACUUUAAAAAGAUUUUUAGUUGUUGAAAUAGUUUUAAACUAGUAUAUUAGAUCAAGGUGCAGCUUAUGGUAAAGAAGAGAUGGGUUACAAUAAAAUUUUUUAUAAGACGGAUUAAAGAAUGAAUUUCUUUAUGAAGGUGGAUUUAAAAGUAAGGUGAUUUUAAUAUGAUCAUUUGAUUAUAGCUCUAGGUUAUGUACACAUCGCCCGUCGCUCUCGUUAAUUAAAGCGAGAUAAGUCGUAACAAAGUAGGUGU